RNAcentral lists this ribosomal RNA (402 nucleotides) under uncultured Phenylobacterium sp. Its description in RNAcentral is "bacterial SSU rRNA". It matches the Rfam family "Bacterial small subunit ribosomal RNA", at positions 355 to 774 of the family's 1533-position model. The record is from RNAcentral. Lineage: Bacteria; Pseudomonadati; Pseudomonadota; Alphaproteobacteria; Caulobacterales; Caulobacteraceae.
UAGGGAAUCUUGCGCAAUGGGCGAAAGCCUGACGCAGCCAUGCCGCGUGAAUGAUGAAGGUCUUAGGAUUGUAAAAUUCUUUCACCGGGGAAGAUAAUGACGGUACCCGGAGAAGAAGCCCCGGCUAACUUCGUGCCAGCAGCCGCGGUAAUACGAAGGGGGCUAGCGUUGCUCGGAAUUACUGGGCGUAAAGGGCGCGUAGGCGGAUAGUUUAGUCAGAGGUGAAAGCCCAGGGCUCAACCUUGGAAUUGCCUUUGAUACUGGCUAUCUUGAGUUCGGGAGAGGUGAGUGGAAUGCCGAGUGUAGAGGUGAAAUUCGUAGAUAUUCGGCGGAACACCAGUGGCGAAGGCGACUCACUGGCCCGAUACUGACGCUGAGGCGCGAAAGCGUGGGGAGCAAACA